UACCUGGUUGACCCUGCCAGGACCAUAUGCUUGUCUCAAAGAUUAAGCCAUGCAUGUCUA
RNAcentral lists this non-coding RNA (60 nucleotides) under Myotis brandtii (Brandt's bat). RNAcentral describes it as "Eukaryotic small subunit ribosomal RNA". It matches the Rfam family "Eukaryotic small subunit ribosomal RNA", at positions 1 to 61 of the family's 1831-position model. Lineage: Eukaryota; Metazoa; Chordata; Mammalia; Chiroptera; Vespertilionidae. The record is from Rfam by way of RNAcentral.